UCGCUUUGACAGCAAAUAGGCUAAUAUUAGAACAAGAGAGAGAAGAUUAGCUUAGCCUCUGCACAAAGAAUUUGUGCAAAUCUGUGAAGCGUUCCACAUUUUU
Small nuclear RNA from Acomys russatus (golden spiny mouse), 103 nucleotides. Lineage: Eukaryota; Metazoa; Chordata; Mammalia; Rodentia; Muridae. The record is from RefSeq and is a predicted model, not a curated record.